CCUACGGGUGGCUGCAGUGGGGAAUAUUGGACAAUGGGCGAAAGCCUGAUCCAGCCAUGCCGCGUGUGUGAAGAAGGCCUUCGGGUUGUAAAGCACUUUCAGUGGGGAAGAAAGCCUUGGGGCUAAUACCCUCGAGGAAGGACAUCACCCACAGAAGAAGCAUCGGCUAACUCCGUGCCAGCAGCCGCGGUAAUACGGAGGGUGCGAGCGUUAAUCGGAAUUACUGGGCGUAAAGCGCGCGUAGGCGGUCUGAUAAGCCGGUUGUGAAAGCCCCGGGCUCAACCUGGGAACGGCAUCCGGAACUGUCAGGCUAGAGUGCAGGAGAGGAAGGUAGAAUUCCCGGUGUAGCGGUGAAAUGCGUAGAGAUCGGGAGGAAUACCAGUGGCGAAGGCGGCCUUCUGGACUGACACUGACGCUGAGGUGCGAAAGCGUGGGUAGCAAACAGGAUUAGAUACCCGAGUAGUC
Molecule: ribosomal RNA, 465 nt
Filed under: Vreelandella stevensii
Lineage: Bacteria; Pseudomonadati; Pseudomonadota; Gammaproteobacteria; Oceanospirillales; Halomonadaceae
Description: partial 16S ribosomal RNA
Rfam family: Bacterial small subunit ribosomal RNA
Source: RNAcentral